CUCUUUGUAGCUCAGUUGGUUAGAGUCCUGAACCGGUAUCGCAGGGCGCAGGUUCGAUUCAUGCAAGAUG
Molecule: non-coding RNA, 70 nt
Organism: Paramuricea clavata
Lineage: Eukaryota; Metazoa; Cnidaria; Anthozoa; Malacalcyonacea; Plexauridae
Source: the annotation of a GenBank genome assembly